Molecule: ribosomal RNA, 492 nt
Filed under: Pseudomonas sp.
Lineage: Bacteria; Pseudomonadati; Pseudomonadota; Gammaproteobacteria; Pseudomonadales; Pseudomonadaceae
Description: bacterial SSU rRNA
Rfam family: Bacterial small subunit ribosomal RNA
Source: RNAcentral
UCAGAUUGAACGCUGGCGGCAGGCCUAACACAUGCAAGUCGAGCGGAUGAAAGGAGCUUGCUCCUGGAUUCAGCGGCGGACGGGUGAGUAAUGCCUAGGAAUCUGCCUGGUAGUGGGGGACAACGUUUCGAAAGGAACGCUAAUACCGCAUACGUCCUACGGGAGAAAGCAGGGGACCUUCGGGCCUUGCGCUAUCAGAUGAGCCUAGGUCGGAUUAGCUAGUUGGUGAGGUAAUGGCUCACCAAGGCGACGAUCCGUAACUGGUCUGAGAGGAUGAUCAGUCACACUGGAACUGAGACACGGUCCAGACUCCUACGGGAGGCAGCAGUGGGGAAUAUUGGACAAUGGGCGAAAGCCUGAUCCAGCCAUGCCGCGUGUGUGAAGAAGGUCUUCGGAUUGUAAAGCACUUUAAGUNNNAGGAAGGGUUGUAGAUUAAUACUCUGCAAUUUUGACGUUACCGACAGAAUAAGCACCGGCUAACUCUGUGCCAGC